Molecule: ribosomal RNA, 117 nt
Filed under: Danio rerio (zebrafish)
Lineage: Eukaryota; Metazoa; Chordata; Actinopteri; Cypriniformes; Danionidae
Source: RNAcentral
UGUCACAACCAUAUCACCCUGCAGCCCAAGACCGGUUACUCACUGAAGCUAAGCAGGGCUGAGCCAGGUCAGUACCUGGAUGGGAGACCACUAGAAUACACUAGGUUGCUGUUGGAA